UGAACGCUGGCGGCAUGCCUUACACAUGCAAGUCGAACGGUAACGGGCCUUCGGGUGCCGCCGAGUGGCGAACGGGUGAGUAAUACAUCGGAACGUGCCCGAUCGUGGGGGAUAACGAGGCGAAAGCUUUGCUAAUACCGCAUACGAUCUACGGAUGAAAGCAGGGGACCGCAAGGCCUUGCGCGGACGGAGCGGCCGAUGGCAGAUUAGGUAGUUGGUGGGAUAAAAGCUUACCAAGCCGACGAUCUGUAGCUGGUCUGAGAGGAUGAUCAGCCACACUGGGACUGAGACACGGCCCAGACUCCUACGGGAGGCAGCAGUGGGGAAUUUUGGACAAUGGGCGCAAGCCUGAUCCAGCCAUGCCGCGUGCAGGAUGAAGGCCUUCGGGUUGUAAACUGCUUUUGUACGGAACGAAAAGCCUUCUUUUAAUACAGGAGGGUCAUGACGGUACCGUAAGAAUAAGCACCGGCUAACUACGUG
This 480-nucleotide ribosomal RNA is filed under the name uncultured bacterium. RNAcentral's name for it is "partial 16S ribosomal RNA". It matches the Rfam family "Bacterial small subunit ribosomal RNA", at positions 30 to 507 of the family's 1533-position model. The record is from RNAcentral.